AGGCGACCCUUUCCCACUCCAUCCCUUCCUUGGCUGGGGUCAGGAGAGGAAGGGGAGCCCCGGGGUCUCUGAGGCUUGGGUCUGUCAGUUUGGAGCUCCACUGCUCCAGGCGGGAUUCAGGAAGCCGGUGGUCAAGGGAAAGCCCCUCGAUAGCCUAAACGGAGAGGGCGGGGAGGGGGAGGAGGCAAAGGAGGCUGAAAUGGGAAGGAGAUAAAGCCUGGAGAGGGCUCAUCUGGAAGCAGGGAAUAGGUGCGCCCCGGCCCGAGUCUCAUGUUCCUACCCUAGGUGGUCCUGAGGGGGCUUCUGCGUAGCUCAGGGCUGCAUCCAGGACGCACCUUGCGCCCAGCUGUGGGGAACCAAAGAGUGAUUUUAUUUAUAUAUGUAUAUGUGUGUGUGUAUAUAUAUUGUUUUUUUGUUUUUUUUUUUUCUUCAGUAAAGCAACAGAGAGGGUACUGGGUCGGGGGAUUGCGAUAUCUUUCCCCGCUGUCCUGACUCCAAAACUGGCCGCCCAUGCUGUCCUUAGCUCUCUCCAGGGAAACGACUCAGGUCUGCAGGUGCUGGCCCAAGCGGGCUGUGCCGCUGGGAGGCCAGGGGUCCGAGGCAGCCCUCGGGACCCUACCACUCCACGAGGCCAUGUCCCUGGCCAAUGACACGCUCCCGCGCCGGGUGGCUAGGUGGGGUGUGGGGGGUGCGGGAGACUUCGUGCACCGCUGCCGCCGCGCUCCUGUGUGCCCAUGGCCCCCUCCCCUUCUGCUCCCCACUCUCCGCCCGAUUUGCCUGAAGCUGCCAGCUUGCCAUCUCGGGCUGAAUCCCAUUUUCCUCCCCCAACCCCGAGUCCCUCAAACUCUCCACCCUCCAGGGCUGCUCGCGCUCUUGGGGAGCGGGGCUAGAAGGACCCAAGCAGCCUCGUUUAUCCUCCCAUCCCCCGCCAAAACCCGCCGGCGGCUCCGCCCCCGCCCCCUCCCUGGCGGCUCAGGCCGCCCCUCCCGGGCUCCCUCCGCGUGCGCCCUGCGCCGCGCUGGGUCUGCAGCGGGAGCUGCCACAGCAGCCUCGCCAACUGGCUGGGGACCAGGCGGGAGGUGGCGCGCCCUGGAGGCUGCGGGAGGGAGGGAGGGAGGCCCGGCCUCGGCGUAGCCCGGCCCCCGCUCCCCGAGGCCCUCCCGCCGGAGCGGGGCUGCCAAGCGCACACACACACACACACACGCACAUACACACACGCGCACACACACAUUCGGGCUCCCAACGGCGCGCACGCACGUAGCGCCCGGGGCAGACCAGCGCCGCGGCCGCCUCCCGGGACGCCCGGACGCCGGAGGGCCCCGACUCGCGCGCGGCUCAUGCGCCCGCGUCCGCCCCGCUGCUCCGCGAGGCCCGCGGGACCCCUCCCGCCACCGCCGCCGCGCCCGCCGCCCCCGGAGGAGCGGGCUGGCCGACCGCCACCUUGCUGUCCCCGGGCAGCCCCCGAAGCCGCUCCAUCGCGGUCCCUGCUGCCCUGGGGCCGCGCCCCGCUCCCGUGCCUUAGGGGUUGAGCCGAGCAAACUUCGCGCACCGGCCGACGCCCGGCGGGGACCCCGCUGCGCACCCGCGCGCCCGGGUGGGCGCUAGGCGCGCGGACCUUUGGGGAGCCGGCUGCCCCGCCCGCUGCACCUGCUCGGCCCCCUCCCCGCUUGCAGGGGACUCCAGAGACACCGCCACUUCGCAAACUUUUCCUCCCCACCACCGAGAGGGGGCGAGGAGGGGUAAAAGGGGAAGCAGGUCCCGCGGGGCGCGCGGACCUGCAGGCUCCUUGCUGGGCGCCGCCACCCGCAAGCUGGACCCACAGGGGUACCGGGCCCCGCGGCCGCCCUCCGGCCGCUUUCUGGCUCCGGUUCCCGUCCCUGCUUUUCCCGCGGGAGCGGGGGGCGGGGUGCGGAGGGCAGCGAGGCCCGCGCGGUACCCAGCGGGGCCGCCCUGCAUGGCCCUGCGCAGUGGGGCGGGCUGCUUCGGCCGGGUCUGGCGCAGGGUGUCGGGGUUCCCGGACGCCUGGCCCCGGCGCUCUAGCAGCCUCCUGUGCCUGUCCGCCUUCUCGGCUGAGCCCGGGCCCGCGCCGCCCCUGCCCCGCCAGCCGCCUCGCGGUGGCGGUGGCUGUGGCGGCCCCAGCGGAGGGGGCCCCCCCCAGCCUCCCCGCCCCCCGCCUCCCCGCUGCUGCUGCUGCUGCUGCCGCCGCCGCUUACAACUUGGAGGCGGCGGCGGCGGCGGCGGAGGAGGAGGCGGCGGCGGCCGCCGGGCGCUGCAGUGGGACGCGCGCGGCUGUGAGCCUGCGGGACAUGCCCCCCGCGCCGGCUCCUUGCUGGCGGCCAUGAAGAGGCAGAACGUGCGGACUCUGUCCCUCAUCGUCUGCACCUUCACCUACCUGCUGGUGGGCGCCGCCGUGUUCGACGCCCUCGAGUCGGACCACGAGAUGCGCGAGGAGGAGAAACUCAAAGCCGAGGAGAUCCGGAUCAAGGGGAAGUACAACAUCAGCAGCGAGGACUACCGGCAGCUGGAGCUGGUGAUCCUGCAGUCGGAGCCGCACCGCGCCGGCGUCCAGUGGAAAUUCGCCGGCUCCUUCUACUUUGCCAUCACGGUCAUCACCACCAUAGGUUAUGGGCACGCUGCACCUGGCACCGACGCGGGCAAGGCCUUCUGCAUGUUCUACGCCGUGCUGGGCAUUCCGCUGACGCUGGUCAUGUUCCAGAGCCUGGGCGAGCGCAUGAACACCUUCGUGCGUUACCUGCUGAAGCGCAUCAAGAAGUGCUGUGGCAUGCGCAACACUGACGUGUCCAUGGAGAACAUGGUGACUGUGGGCUUCUUCUCCUGCAUGGGGACGCUGUGCAUCGGGGCGGCUGCCUUCUCCCAGUGUGAGGAGUGGAGCUUCUUCCACGCCUACUACUACUGCUUCAUCACGUUGACUACCAUUGGGUUCGGGGACUACGUGGCCCUGCAGACCAAGGGUGCCCUGCAGAAGAAGCCACUCUACGUGGCCUUUAGCUUUAUGUAUAUCCUGGUGGGGCUGACGGUCAUCGGGGCCUUCCUCAACCUGGUCGUCCUCAGGUUCUUGACCAUGAACAGUGAGGAUGAGCGGCGGGAUGCCGAAGAGAGGGCAUCCCUUGCCGGAAACCGCAACAGCAUGGUCAUUCACAUCCCUGAGGAGCCACGUCCCAGCCGGCCCAGGUACAAGGCGGACGUCGCGGACCUGCAGUCUGUGUGCUCCUGCACCUGCUACCGCUCGCAGGACUAUGGCGGCCGCUCAGCGGCUCCUCAGAACUCCUUCAGCGCCAAGCUUGCCCCCCACUACUUCCACUCCAUCUCUUACAAGAUCGAGGAGAUCUCACCAAGCACAUUAAAAAACAGCCUCUUCCCAUCUCCUAUUAGCUCCAUCUCUCCUGGGUUACACAGCUUUACCGACCACCAGAGGCUGAUGAAACGCCGGAAGUCCGUUUAGGGGAACUAACUGCACAUCCAAGAGAGGCGUCCGUGGAUGCUGGGUCUCACUGCCAAAGCCGAACACGGCUUCGGGAUUUCUGCCUUCUCACGUGGACCUCUGCUGUGCUGGGCGAAUGCCACUACUCAUUCCCCUAAACACCUGUGGGGAUGGUCCAGCUACACAUAGAUGGGAAGCCCAGAGAAAUGCUCGAUGUGAGGGUCCCCGCAAGCCAGUUGGGCUGAUUCGGCACCCGCCCCCCAAAGCUCCUCAUUGAGGAGCAGAGACUGCCAAGCCCUUCCACUCAUUCGUCAUCAUAAAAAUGUAACUUGCUAUGGCAGCCUCUUGGCCAUUAAGGGCUAUACUUUGUGACCUCUGUCCUUGAGAUCUUUGCUCUGGCAAGUUCUAUAGCCUUCUCAGUGCUGCUAUCGUGAUGCAGUCCCCCUGCUGUGGCUAAGUAACCUUUCGUUUUGAUCAAGAUUUGUCCGUGCAGACUCCUACCUCUGCGCCUUUGCCCGUGCCGUUCCCACUACCUGGAAGGUCUCCCUGUUGCUCUCCAGCUUUGAGGUGGAGACAGAGCAUCUCACACCUCCUUUUGGUGUCUCCUGACCCUUUUGCUCCCUGUUGGACUUGGCAAUGUCCUCUUCUGGGCUCCCCUAGUCCUUGUUUUGGUCGUGAGCGACCGCACUGGGGAGCAAACCUUCUGUGGCCCCGGCCACAGGAGCAGCAAGCACUGGGCAGUGCCCCAGAGGCAAGGACCAUCGCGAGAAUAAAGGCACUGAGAUGUCUGGCAUCUUGCCCAAAUGGCCACUCAUCACCGUGAUUGAGGCAUGUCUUAACUUGCUGAAGUGGAAACAGGGUAACUCAAUGCACACCUCUGCACCAUCCCUGGAAACCAAUCCAGAUCUAUGAGAAGAAAACUGGUCAUCAUAGCGUUGGUGAUUCAACAGCACCUGCCCGGCAGAGUGGAGUGUGCCCCAUACAACAGGGCCGGAAGCUGCCACGCCAGGCGUUUCUCAUAAGGCGGCUGACAGGGAUGGCACCAGACUACAGGAGCAUACUUGCGAUGUCACUCUGAAGAAGUUGGGCCCCGUGAUGGGAAUGUCAUCAGGAAACUGGGUCUGCACUGUUUUUUUGUGGCAACACUUCUGGUGGAGGCUGCGAGGGGAUGGGGACAUGCACCAUGAGUGACUCAGGACCCCCAGCCUCUGUGGCCUGGCUCCUGCCCACCCCUAGCUCUGGGGCCUUGAGAGAGGCAAGCACACGCUCUUCUCGCCUCCAGAGAGCAGCGUAGGGGUGUGGAUGCUGCUCAGGCCCUGGCAUCUCGCACGCCUGGGACCAGCCUCUGCCAUUCACAGGACUGUGUGGGCAGCCCCAUCAGAGGAUGGCAACAGCUCUCUCCUUCUGUAAGUGAGGCAGUCUCAUCCUUCCCUGGAUCCUCAGCAUCUCUUAACCAGCAGUGGCAAAGGUUGAAUUAGAAUGGCUCCAGCUUCGGAUAAAAAUCCGGAUCUCGUUUUUCAAAACGUGUCUAGAGCUGGUGGCUGUAAGGAACCAAUCAAGCCUCAGCUGUGAUUCUAAUCCUGCCAAGUCAGCCUGAGAGCCGACUCAUUCAUCCAAAGAGAGAACGGUUUGGAUGGAGCUCAAGGUGCAUGGCUCGCUGGCAUAGCCCAGACAACCUCUUAAAGGCCGGGCCGCAGAGCUAGAAGGUCUGUCACUCAGUUGGGGAAAUCGCCUGAGAAGUUCAAGUCCACUGCCUGGCAGCUCAAAUGAGUCAGCCUCACCAACCAAGAAUCGCGUUGAUAAACAGACUCAGAGAGCCCGCGCCCCGUGGGGUUCCCCCCGUCUGCAACUGUCUCACCUGGCCCCCCUGCAGGGCCCGGCGGGGACUGGGGAAGGUCAGUGCUCCCUGGGGCGGGGACUGGGUCUGUUUCCAGGCUCAGUGCCUCCGAGUCAUACACAUGCCAGGUGGUCCUGCUACUUACCCUUGCUGAACCUCAGGCUUCUCGUGUAAACAGGGCGCUUUUGAGGAAUUAUUAACAUCUCCCUGUGAGUCAAAGCACCUACUGAGAUAAUGUAUGUAAUGCUUGUAAUAAAUGCAGCUAUGUGCCAGGCACUCUGA
This is an RNA transcript of Chlorocebus sabaeus (green monkey), 5561 nucleotides long. It is a transcript of the gene named potassium two pore domain channel subfamily K member 9, with no coding region annotated. Lineage: Eukaryota; Metazoa; Chordata; Mammalia; Primates; Cercopithecidae. The record is from RefSeq and is a predicted model, not a curated record.